RNAcentral lists this ribosomal RNA (549 nucleotides) under uncultured Glomeromycotina. Its description in RNAcentral is "SSU rRNA". It matches the Rfam family "Eukaryotic small subunit ribosomal RNA", at positions 548 to 1098 of the family's 1831-position model. The record is from RNAcentral. Lineage: Eukaryota; Fungi; Glomeromycota.
UUGGAGGGCAAGUCUGGUGCCAGCAGCCGCGGUAAUUCCAGCUCCAAUAGCGUAUAUUAAAGUUGUUGCAGUUAAAAAGCUCGUAGUUGAAUUUCGGGGUUAGUAGGUUGGUCAUGCCUCUGGUAUGUACUGGUCUCACUGAUUCCUCCUUCCUGAUGAGCCGUAAUGCCAUUAAUUUGGUGUUGCGGGGAAUUUGGACUGUUACUUUGAAAAAAUUAGAGUGUUUAAAGCAAGCUAACGCUUGAAUACAUUAGCAUGGAAUAAUGAAAUAGGACGUUUGAUUCUAUUUUGUUGGUUUCUAGGAUCGACGUAAUGAUUAAUAGGGAUAGUUGGGGGCAUUAGUAUUCAAUUGUCAGAGGUGAAAUUCUUGGAUUUAUUGAAGACUAACUACUGCGAAAGCAUUUGCCAAGGAUGUUUUCAUUAAUCAAGAACGAAAGUUAGGGGAUCGAAGACGAUCAGAUACCGUCGUAGUCUUAACCAUAAACUAUGCCGACUAGGGAUCGGAUGAUGUUAAUUUUUUAAUGACUCAUUCGGCGCCUUACGGGAAAC